UACAGAGGUCUCAAGCGUUGUUCGGAUUCAUUGGGCGUAAAGGGUGCGUAGGCGGCGCGGUAAGUCGGGUGUGAAAUCUUGGAGCUUAACUCCGAAACUGCAUUCGAUACUGCCGUGCUUGAGGACUGGAGAGGAGACUGGAAUUUACGGUGUAGCGGUGAAAUGCGUAGAUAUCGUAAGGAAAACCAGUGGCGAAGGCGGGUCUCUGGACAGUUCCUGACGCUGAGGCACGAAGGCCAGGGGAGCAAACGGG
Molecule: ribosomal RNA, 253 nt
Filed under: uncultured bacterium
Lineage: Bacteria
Description: partial 16S ribosomal RNA
Rfam family: Bacterial small subunit ribosomal RNA
Source: RNAcentral